This 352-nucleotide unclassified non-coding RNA is filed under the name soil metagenome. Its description in RNAcentral is "partial contains 5.8S ribosomal RNA, internal transcribed spacer 2, and large subunit ribosomal RNA". The stretch from base 1 to 120 matches the Rfam family "5.8S ribosomal RNA", at positions 35 to 154 of the family's 154-position model. The record is from RNAcentral.
GAUGAAGAACGUAGCGAAAUGCGAUAAGUAAUGUGAAUUGCAUAAUUCAGUGAAUCAUCGAAUCUUUGAACGCACAUUGCGCCCGCCAGUAUUCUGGCGGGCAUGCCUGUUCGAGCGUCAUUUCAACCCUCAGGCCCCCAGUGCCUGGUGUUGGGGAUCGGCCCAGCCUUCCUGUAAGGCCGCCGGCCCCGAAAUCUAGUGGCGGUCUCGCUGUAGUCCUCCUCUGCGUAGUAGCACAACCUCGCAGUUGGAACGCGGCGGUGGCCAUGCCGUUAAACACCCCACUUCUGAAAGUUGACCUCGGAUCAGGUAGGAAUACCCGCUGAACUUAAGCAUAUCAAUAAGCGGAGGA